This 5452-nucleotide unclassified non-coding RNA is filed under the name Monomorium pharaonis (pharaoh ant). RNAcentral describes it as "bMP-binding endothelial regulator protein, transcript variant X1". Lineage: Eukaryota; Metazoa; Arthropoda; Insecta; Hymenoptera; Formicidae. The record is from RNAcentral.
UCGUGCGUGAUCUUUGUUACUUCGCGCUGACACGGUGGUGGAAGUCGCAACGGAACUUCAGUGCAGCUGCGACGAGCAGCUGACGCGGAAUCAUUUGGAGUAGCCUGCAGUGGAGCUCGCGCCGCGUACGCGACAACGCACGACAGGUCAGGACCACGGUGCUGCGCGCGCGCGGGUGUCGAGACGGGGGACACGCACACGGUACUGGACCGCUCACGCCGCUGCCGCAGCCUCCGGACAGGACAGCCGCGGGGGAUCCGCGCGUGUCUUCGCCGAUCCGCGUGCAAAUGAGCUCGCGCCGCGAGUGCGCGCGUGAAAGAAACGCUUCUGCUACCUGCGCUCGUGGUCGCGUCUCAGUCGCGAACAGUGCGGUGUGUCGUCGUCGUCGUAAUCAUCAUCAUCAUCAUCAUCAUCAUCAUCACCAUCAUCGUUACGCGAUUCCGCGACGUGGUGCAUCGCCGGCUGUGCUCCGCGUUCACGACGACUCCGGGACGAAGACGGCGGUCCUGAGAGGGAGGCCUGUGUAAGAAAGAGCACGGCUGACAAGUGUAUGCGCGCGGGCGCGCCGACGAGGGAAUACUCGCAGUAAAUUGUUGCGGCAAAGUCUAAAAUCUGGUGCAUCUAAACAUGGAACUGACACGAUUACCUUCGCCACUGGCUUUGGCUUUGGCCCUGGCCUUUCUUUCGACGGUACACCGUUGCGACGCCGCCUCGGAAAGUAUAAUAGGAAGCCGUGAGACCUGCGACACCGAGGGGGAAGACAUCACCGUCGACAAGAUCUUGAACACCAGUUGCUUCCGCUGCAUCUGCAAGAACGGAUUUGUGGAGUGUUUAAAGCAACAAUGCCCGAACAUCGAAGGUUGCUACGCGCUGGUGGACCCGCGCGACGACGAGUGCUGUCACAAAUGCACAGGGUGCGUACAGAACGGCAUUUAUCAUGCUUCGGACACGGAAUGGACAGAGGAAAACGAUCCCUGCCAAAUAUUCACCUGUAAAGCGGGCGUCAUUACCGAGUCAAGGCUACGAUGUUACACGCCCUGCUCUCAUCCAAAAGCGGCUCCACCUGGCCAAUGUUGUCCCAUAUGCGAAGGAUGCUUGGUAAAUGGACAGAAAGUAACAGAGGAUAGGUCAGUGACUACGACGGAGGAUCCCUGUGUAACUUGCAAGUGCAAUAAAGGACAUCUCACCUGCGCGAAGCAAGCCUGUCCUACUCUCAAUUGUCCUGCUUCAAGGAUCGUCGACGAAUCCGGCGAAUGCUGCCCGUACUGUCGAGGCAGCGCAAGAUUCUUUUCUCCUCCGAAAGGUGCGUGCAUGCUCGGCACGCGUUUGCAUAAAUCGGGUACUGAAUUUUAUGUGGAUCACUGCACGCGUUGCACCUGCGACAAUUCGGCAAUCUCGUGCGUAAGGGAGACCUGUCCGGUACUGGAGUGCCCCAGAGAGCACCAGGUGACACAAGUCAACCGUUGUUGCCCACAAUGUUCGCUCGUCGAGGAGAGCAGAGCGUCUUGCUCCUACGGCGGAAAAACUUAUGUGGAUGGCGAAAAUUGGAAGCUGGACUCCUGCAAGACAUGCACCUGCAAACAGGGCAAAGUGCGCUGCGCAAUGCCUCAAUGUCCACCGAUGAACUUUCCUUGCCCACCAAAUUCCAAGUUGGAACAUCCGGAGGGUCAGUGCUGUCCCCGAUGUGUCGAGCGUGACGGAGUUUGCACGGUUUUCGGAGACCCUCACUAUCGUACGUUUGACGGUAAAUACUACAGCUUCAAGGGAGCGUGCAAGUAUCAACUGGUUACCGAUUGUUUCUCACACACAUUCAGCAUACGCGUGACCAAUGAUGCCAGAAAAACGAAGUUCUCAGCGUGGACCAAAACUAUCGCCAUAAAGAUCGGCAAUUUGAAAGUGAAUCUUGGCCAAAAAAUGAGAGUAAAGGUAAACGGAAAGAAGGUGGACAUUCCUUAUCGCAUCGCUAAUCAAUUGAACAUCAGCCAUACGGACGACAGUGUGAUCGUUGAAACGUGGAUCGGGGUCAAAGUCCAUUGGGAUGGUAUCAGUUUUCUUGAAGUAUCCGUGCCUUCGUCAUACAGGGGUCAACUAUGCGGUCUCUGUGGUAACUUCAAUUCCCAAAUCAAAGACGACUUUACUGCGCGGAAUGGACGAGUGGUGCAGGAUCCACAGCAAUUCGGUCAAUCCUGGGCCGUGGGUGACAUCAAGAAGAUGUGCACCCGAAUCCCAAGAUUUGGAAAUACUACCAGACAGAAACGUUGUCGAGACAGAAAAGAUCAACGAUUGUGCACUCGACUGAAAUCACAGAUCUUCUACCCCUGCCAUAAGAAGGUGAAUCCACAGAUGUAUUACAAAGCCUGCCUUCAGGAUAUGUGCGAGUGUCCGACCCAGCACUGCUACUGCGAGUCCUUCGUGGCGUACGCGCACGAAUGCAAGCGACUCGACAUCCCGCUGCCGCACUGGCGAAAAGCCACGAGGUGUCGAACCGUUUGGGACCAACGAAUAAGUCAGACGAAUUUCGCUCGCCGCUUACAUUAAUCGCACGCUUUGUCCACCGCCGCGUCCAGCCUCUAGAAACUCCCCCCUCCCCCCUUUUAAGAGACGUACAGCGAGAACAGCCGCAUCGAACUUGAUGUACAUUCUGCAUGCAUUUAGGAAGAGAAUCACUCUAUAUACGACCUUAUUCCCUUUCUUCCCUUUUCUUUUCUAAGAUAACGUUUUAGUGUACGCGAACAACGAAGAAGAGAUACGAUGCUGGAACAGAAAUCUUUAGAAUUAAUGUGCCUGUGUUUUUGUAUAUGAAACUUUAAACGCAGGCGCAAGAAAAAGAACAAAUUUCUCACGGAAAUUCGGAAAUUUCUCUCUUGAAAUUCGGAAUCGAUUUCGGAAAUCGAAUUUCCCGUUGAGCGAGAUAAAGUUUCCGAUUGAAAACUCAGUGAGCGCGUAACACAAAGAACGUGGCACUCUUCUUAGUACUCCGUGACAUGUACCAUGAGGGAUUAAUGCAAAAUAAGUAUUCAUAAAUGCUUAUUUAUUCGUGAAGCAGUGUAAUGCACGUGGCACUUAUAAGUCCGUCGUCUAUAAUGAGAAACGGCAAUAGACUGUUAAUGCGGUAGAAAAUGUUUCGCUGCUUGCGCUGCAAAUGUAAUACGAACAACUGUACGUAUGUCGGCUGACAUCGGAAUAAUCGUGAUGUUGUAUUACGACAAACGACAUACGUAACUGUUAACAAUGAUGAAGCAGAAAAGCAGUUGAAAUUUUCACUCGACUUCGCUGCCAGCUUACGUCUCCUCUUCGACAUAUUCUUCGUGAUGUUAUCUUUUUAUUCCCAAGAGCUCUUUCUGCGGGAGCGCGUAGACCGGACGCGGCGGAGUGCUCGGCGAGAAUCUACUAGUCACCACUUCGUAUCAAUAUGCAUUAACGCAAAUUUUUUCAGUCAGACUCUGACUUGAGUGCCUCUAGUAGCGACUAUUCUCAUCGAUGCGGAGCGGUGGCGAUUUCGCGCUCAUUAGUACGGAAAUCUCACGGCAGCACAAGUACACAGCCAUGACACCCGGAAAACAUGGAUCUUACAUGUGUGUAUGUGUACGUCACGAUUUUAUGUCGCGAAAUCCCGUAAAUCCGAGAGGAAGCAUCGCAAGUCAAGCUAGAGUCGUACAAAUGUCGGAGAACGUAUAAUCUUGCACAGAGCGAAGCGCAAAAAGUAAAAACUCAUAUCUAGAGUUAAAAUACAACUUGAUACCAUUUAAUCCUGAAUUUUUUAUAUCAUAGAUGUAGCUUCGCGUGCGCCAUUCUGAACCGAGAAUGGCACGUCUAGUUCUAGGAUCGUCCCUUGUCCGCGUGGGAUUAUUAUCGAACAAAAAUUGAUGUGACAUACCAUAAUUGACGAAAUGUAGUAUCAUUGAUUGUGUUGUAAUCUCAUAAUUAUUAUCGGCAUUUCUUAAUAACUGUAAAUGCUGCCUUAUGAAUUUUAUAAUAUGUACUUCACUGAAAAGCUUAUGUACGAAUAAACGUAGGAGUAGAAUUCUAACAAGACAUGUACCGAUAUAAAAAAUGGAAUCAAUAUACUUGAAUUCGUGAGGAAUUCUCUUCGAGGACUUUACCAAUUAGCAGCAGAUGACGAUGUCUUGUAAUGUUUCGGAACACCGUGCAGUAUUUCGGCCGAUGAGCAGGCUCGCGGCAUAGCAUGUACAUCCCAAUUUAACGCAAUCGAUCGAUUAAUCUCAUAUAUAUAUAUAUAUAUAUAUAUAUAUAUAUAUAUAUGUAUGUAUGUAUGUGUACGCAUAUAAUGUAUGUAUGAACUCGCGGAUCCUUGAAUCCACAGAUUUGUGCCUCUUACAUUCGUUUUGCGGAUCUCCGCAUUUACAGAUUCGCAAGUUCAACGAAUCAUCGACUAUAUACGACGCAUCGUAGAUUUGUCGUUUCUCAAGCUCUCAUUUUCCGUGAUCUUUGAUCGACUUUAAAUCCGGAAAUACGCAAUCGCAAACUUACAUAAAUUUUUUUAUACGUCCAGCUCCUUUAAUUCACGAAUUCACAAUUCUACGAAUUUUCUUUUGCUUCAUAAAUCACGCAAUCGCUCUCUUGGGACGUAUAAAUUUUUUAUUAUCCCCAGAUCCAUAUAAAUUUCCACGGAUCCGGAUACACCGAUACUGAUACAUUCGCCCCGAAUAUAAUAAAUUCGCAAUUCCACGAAUCGCGCCUGCACCCACGAAUUGUGGUUCCACAAAUAUAUAUUUCUAUUUCUAUGUCCGUGGUGCCAUGGAUCUCUGAUCUCAUCGUAGAUUUUCCCAUUUUACACAGAUCCUUGGAUUCACAGGCCCGCCAUUUAUCAGACUCUUACAUUUUCGUUAUGUAGAAUUAAGAGGGAAUAUUUCCCUAUUUUGUCUUCGAUGACGAGUACACCUUUUUUAUAUUAUAUAUACAACAUAUAUCUAAGUAGCGUAUAACGUAAAUGUUUCUUUAUACUUUAGUUUUAGCGAAGCGUUUGUAUAUAGAACAAGAUUAUUAAGCGAGUACUAAACACAUACUGGUUUCGAUAAGUACGAUUUUUAAAUGCAUCUUUACUUAUUAGUAUCCCUUUUUUAUUCCGCGUUUCAAUUUUCCUUUUUUUUCCUAUUUUCCUACUUCCUACUUUUUCAUCUUACUUUUACCUUUAGUAAAUUGUUACAAAAUUUUGCAAAAGAAAUUGUAGAACCAUUUUACUAGACUAUUACUUUCGUGAAAGGCAACAAGAAAACAGUAUCUUUUUAACUUACAUUAGCAAAAAUGUAUAUAUAGCCGAAAUACACUGUAAUUAAUUAUCAAUGAAGAGUUUCGACGAGGAAUCAAACCAACACUGUAUACCGGUUAGUCCAAAGUGUUAGCUAAUUUUUGACGACUUUAGUGUAGAACUUUUUAAUGUAAAACAGAGAAUUGCGAGCGUAAUAAAUCAAUUAUAUUCGUAAACAUCAUA